RNAcentral lists this ribosomal RNA (491 nucleotides) under uncultured bacterium. Its description in RNAcentral is "partial 16S ribosomal RNA". It matches the Rfam family "Bacterial small subunit ribosomal RNA", at positions 29 to 507 of the family's 1533-position model. The record is from RNAcentral.
GUGCACGCUGGCGGUAGGCCUAACACAUGCAAGUCGAACGGCAGCACAGUAAGAGCUUGCUCUUACGGGUGGCGAGUGGCGGACGGGUGAGGAAUACAUCGGAAUCUACUUUUUCGUGGGGGAUAACGUAGGGAAACUUACGCUAACACCGCAUACGACCUACGGGUGAAAGCAGGGGAUCUUCGGACCUUGCGCGAUUGAAUGAGCCGAUGUCGGAUUAGCUAGUUGGCGGGGUAAAGGCCCACCAAGGCGACGAUCCGUAGCUGGUCUGAGAGGAUGAUCAGCCACACUGGAACUGAGACACGGUCCAGACUCCUACGGGAGGCAGCAGUGGGGAAUAUUGGACAAUGGGCGCAAGCCUGAUCCAGCCAUACCGCGUGGGCGAAGAAGGCCUUCGGGUUGUAAAGCCCUUUUGUUGGGAAAGAAAAGCAGCAGGUUAAUACCCCGCUGUUCUGACGGUACCCAAAGAAUAAGCACCGGCUAACUUCGUG